Cyprinus carpio (common carp) is the source of this 2702-nucleotide long non-coding RNA. The record is from Ensembl. Lineage: Eukaryota; Metazoa; Chordata; Actinopteri; Cypriniformes; Cyprinidae.
CCAGAUUUAACAUGCACGUAUAUGGCAAAUUGUAUUAUUUGCAUACCGGAGCUGAAUCUUAUGAUAAGUGUAAUGCAUGUCACGACAUACAAACAUGGCACGAGAUUUUAGGCCACUAGAACUAUGACGAUGUUCUUAAGUUGCAGGGUGUUGUUGAAGGUAUGCAGAUAAAGGGUAAAACAGGCAGACCCGAACAAGAGUGUGAGGUGUGUAUUCAGGGAAAGUUUGCCCAAACCAGAAAUAGGGACCAUGAUACCAGAGCAAAGGCUCCUUUACUGAUGGUACACAAAGACCUUGCAGAUCCAAUAGCCACAGAGUUGAUAGACGGUUACAAAUAUGUGCAGUCAUUCACUGACGAUUACUCUAGCGCAAUGUUCGUAUAUUUCCUAAAGAGGAAAAGUGACACCGUACAGGCUACUGAAAAGUUCCUAGCAGAUGUAUCCCCUUACGGGAAAGUGAGGUGCAUCAGAUCCGACAAAAGAACAGAGUUUACGUGCAGUGAUUUUCAAGCACUGUUGAGGAAAAACAAAAUCACACAUGAAACAUCAGCUCUGUAUUCCCCACACCAGAACGGAACUGCAGAGAGGGGUUGGCGUUUUCUUUUUGAGAUGGGCAGGUGCAUGGUAGUUGAAAGUGCACUACCAAAGCAGCUAUGGCACUACGCAGUACAAACAGCAGCAAUGGUACGCAACAGGUGUUUUAACAGGCGUACAGGGCAGACUUCUUAUGAGUCGCUUAUAGAAAAGAAGCCUAAUGUGUCAAAAAUGCAAAAGUUUGGAUCUGUAUGCUACACGUACAAACAGGACAAGGGAAAAUUUGAUUCCAGGUGUGACCAGGGUCGUUUUGUAGGUUAUGACAAGAACAGCCUGGCAUAUUUGGUGUAUCAUCCAGAUACAAACAAAGUACAAAAACACAGGCUAGUGAAGUUUGUGAGCAAGGCUAUGAUGUUCCAUUUGUGCCAAAAUUAUGUCGACAUGCUGUCUGUCUAUGCUAUGUGUCGUCUCAACUUACUCCUGUCAUCUGUCCUUGUCGUUUGACUUUGUCGUCUUGCGUGUCAAUGCUGCAUGUGUUAUGACUAUGUGUUUUUUCAUUCUGUCGUUGCUAUGCAUCGUUUUCCAUGUCUAUGGUAUGCGUCGUUACUAUGUGUCGUUUUCUUCUGUCGUUACUAUGUGUCGUCUUCCAUGUCUAUGCUAUGCGUCUAUGCUAUGCGUCGUUGCUAUGCGUCGUUUCCCUCUGUCGUUACUAUGUGUCGUCUUCCAUGUCUAUGCUAUGCGUCGUUUCCCUCUGUCGUUACUAUGUGUCGUCUUCCAUGUCUAUGCUAUGCGUCGUUACUAUGCAUCGUUUCCCUCUGUCGUUACUAUGUGUCGUCUUCCAUGUCUAUGCUAUGCGUCGUUACUAUGCGUCGUUUCCCUCUGUCGUUACUAUGUGUCGUCUUCCAUGUCUAUGCUAUGCGUCGUUACUAUGCAUCGUUUCCCUCUGUCGUUACUAUGUGUCGUCUUCCAUGUCUAUGCUAUGCGUCGUUACUAUGCAUCGUUUCCCUCUGUCGUUACUAUGUGUCGUCUUCCAUGUCUAUGCUAUGCGUCGUUACUAUGCAUCGUUUCCCUCUGUCGUUACUAUGUGUCGUCUUCCAUGUCUAUGCUAUGCGUCGUUACUAUGCAUCGUUUCCCUCUGUCGUUACUAUGUGUCGUCUUCCAUGUCUAUGCUAUGCGUCGUUACUAUGCAUCGUUUCCCUCUGUCGUUACUAUGUGUCGUCUUCCAUGUCUAUGCUAUGCGUCGUUACUAUGCAUCGUUUCCCUCUGUCGUUACUAUGUGUCGUCUUCCAUGUCUAUGCUAUGCGUCGUUACUAUGCAUCGUUUCCCUCUGUCGUUACUAUGUGUCGUCUUCCAUGUCUAUGCUAUGCGUCGUUACUAUGCAUCGUUUCCCUCUGUCGUUACUAUGUGUCGUCUUCCAUGUCUAUGCUAUGCGUCGUUACUAUGCAUCGUUUCCCUCUGUCGUUACUAUGUGUCGUCUUCCAUGUCUAUGCUAUGCGUCGUUACUAUGCGUCGUUUCCCUCUGUCGUUUCCCUCUGUCGUUACUAUGCGUCAUCUUCCAUGUCUAUGCUAUGCGUCGUUUUCCUCUGUCGUUACUAUGUGCCGUCUUCCAUGUCUAUGCUAUGCGUCGUUUCCCUCUGUCGUUACUAUGAGUCAUCUUCCCUGUCUAUACUAUGCGUCGUUUCCCUCUGUCGUUACUAUGAGUCAUCUUCCCUGUCUAUACUAUGCGUCGUUUCCCUCUGUCGUUACUAUGUGCCUUCUUCCAUGUCUAUGCUAUGCGUCGUUUCCCUCUGUCGUUACUGUGUCAUCUUCCAUGUCUAUGCUAUGCGUCGUUGCUAUGCGUCGUUUCCCUCUGUCGUUACUAUGUGUCGUCUUCCAUGUCUAUGCUAUGCGUCUAUGCUAUGCGUCGUUUCCCUCUGUCGUUACUAUGUCGUCUUCCAUGUCUAUGCUAUGCGUCGUUUCCCUCUCUUUUGUAUAUUUUUUGUAAAAUAGUAAGUUCUAUUUUAUUUUUAUACUGUACACUUAACAGUUUUUGUAAUAUUUCUUACGGUCCUCUGUUUUUAUUCUUUAAGUGAGUGUUGUAGCCUAGCCUAUUUUAUAGCAAAGAUUAAUCAGAGUCAAAUUCUUUGUUUGUUUACUCAAACCUGGCCAAUAAAGCUGAUUCUGAUGUCA